RNAcentral lists this ribosomal RNA (253 nucleotides) under uncultured bacterium. RNAcentral's name for it is "partial 16S ribosomal RNA". It matches the Rfam family "Bacterial small subunit ribosomal RNA", at positions 524 to 776 of the family's 1533-position model. The record is from RNAcentral.
UACGUAGGGGGCAAGCGUUGUCCGGAAUCAUUGGGCGUAAAGAGCGUGUAGGCGGCCCGGUAAGUCCGCUGUUAAAGUCCAGGGCUCAACCCUGGGAUGCCGGUGGAUACUGUCGGGCUCGAGUCCGGAAGAGGAGUGUGGAAUUCCUGGUGUAGCGGUGAAAUGCGCAGAUAUCAGCAGGAACACCAAUGGCGAAGGCAGCACUCUGGGACGUGACUGACGCUGAGACGCGAAAGCGUGGGGAGCAAACAGG